GACGAACGCUGGCGGCGUGCCUAAUACAUGCAAGUAGGACGCAGUUGCGAACGGGUGAGUAACGCGUAGGUAACUACCUAUUAGAGGGGGAUAACUAUUGGAAACGAUAGCUAAUACAGCAUACGAGUAGAUGGACCUGCGUUGUAUUAGCUAGUAGGUAGGGAAAUGGCCUACUUAGGCAACGAUACAUAGCCGACCUUAGGGGGGUAGUGGGCACACUGGGAAUGGUACACGGCCCAGACUCCUACGGGAGGCAGCAGUAGGGAAUAUUCGGCAAUGGGGGGAACCCUGACCGAGCAACUCCGCGUGAGUGAAGAAGGUUUUCGGAUCGUAAAGCUCUGUUGUUAAGGAAGCGGUACUUAACCAGAAAGGGACGGCUAACUACGUGCCAGCAGCCGCGGUAAUAC
Molecule: ribosomal RNA, 407 nt
Filed under: uncultured bacterium
Lineage: Bacteria
Description: partial 16S ribosomal RNA
Rfam family: Bacterial small subunit ribosomal RNA
Source: RNAcentral